This 256-nucleotide ribosomal RNA is filed under the name uncultured archaeon. RNAcentral describes it as "partial 16S ribosomal RNA". It matches the Rfam family "Bacterial small subunit ribosomal RNA", at positions 521 to 776 of the family's 1533-position model. The record is from RNAcentral.
UAAGACGAACCGUGCAAACGUUAUUCGGAAUCACUGGGCUUAAAGGGCGCGUAGGCGGGUAAUCAAGUCAAUGGUGAAAGCCUCCAGCUUAACUGGAGAAGUGCCUUUGAUACUGAUUGUCUAGAGUGAGGUAGGGGCAUGUGGAACUUCCGGUGGAGCGGUGAAAUGCGUAGAUAUCGGAAGGAACGCCAGUGGCGAAAGCGAUGUGCUGGACCUUUUCUGACGCUGAGGCGCGAAAGCUAGGGGAUCAAACGGG